CCUGGUGGCUCAGAUGGUAAAGCGCCUGUCUAUAAUGCAGGAGACCAGGGUUCAAUCCCUGGGUCAGGA
This 69-nucleotide transfer RNA is filed under the name Bos taurus (domestic cattle). It matches the Rfam family "tRNA". Rfam says of the family: Transfer RNA (tRNA) molecules are approximately 80 nucleotides in length. Lineage: Eukaryota; Metazoa; Chordata; Mammalia; Artiodactyla; Bovidae. The record is from Rfam by way of RNAcentral.